CGCUACACAUGCAGUCGAACGAGAAAGCCGGGGCAACCUGGUGAGUACAGUGGCAUACGGGUGAGUAACACGUGGAUGAUCCGCUCCUUGGUGGGGAAUAACCCUGGGAAACCGGGGCUAAUACCGCAUAAGUCCGAGAGGAGAAAGGCGAAAGUCGCCGAGGAAGGGGUCCGCGGCCGAUUAGCUAGUUGGUAGGGUAAAGGCCUACCAAGGCGAUGAUCGGUAGCCGGCCUGAGAGGGCACACGGCCACACUGGCACUGAGACACGGGCCAGACUCCUACGGGAGGCAGCAGUGGGGAAUCUUGCACAAUGGGGGAAACCCUGAUGCAGCGACGCCGCGUGAGCGAUGAAGCCCUUCGGGGUGUAAAGCUCUUUCGACAGGAACGAUAAUGACGGUACCUGGAGAAGAAGCUGCGGCUAACUACGUGCCAGCAGCCGCGGUAAUACGUAGGCAGCGAGCGUUGUUCGGAGUUACUGGGCGUAAAGAGUAUGUAGGCGGUUCGCUGUGUCUGGUGUGAAAUCUCCUGGCUUAACUGGGAGGGUGCGCCGGAAACUGGCGAGCUAGAGUACGGGAGAGGGAAGCGGAAUUCCUGGUGUAGCGGUGAAAUGCGUAGAUAUCAGGAGGAACACCUGUGGUGUAGACGGCUUCCUGGACCGUGACUGACGCUGAGAUACGAAAGCGUGGGGAGCAAACAGGAUUAGAUACCCUGGUAGUCCACGCCCUAAACGAUGCGGACUUGGUGUAGGCAGUUCAGUCUGUCUGUGCCGGAGCUAACGCG
This 780-nucleotide ribosomal RNA is filed under the name uncultured bacterium. RNAcentral describes it as "bacterial SSU rRNA". It matches the Rfam family "Bacterial small subunit ribosomal RNA", at positions 47 to 859 of the family's 1533-position model. The record is from RNAcentral.